UAACCAUGUUGUGUACAUGAAUUUAUGAGAUCUUUAAAUCGCUCUCAACAUUAGAAGAAGGUCUCAUCAUCUUUUUACGCAAAAUUCAUGAUUUCUUUAUUUAAGGUA
Molecule: small nucleolar RNA, 108 nt
Organism: Magnolia sinica
Lineage: Eukaryota; Viridiplantae; Streptophyta; Magnoliopsida; Magnoliales; Magnoliaceae
Source: RefSeq, a predicted model, not a curated record